Molecule: long non-coding RNA, 1073 nt
Filed under: Piliocolobus tephrosceles (Ugandan red Colobus)
Lineage: Eukaryota; Metazoa; Chordata; Mammalia; Primates; Cercopithecidae
Description: lncRNA (ENSPTEG00000012575.1)
Source: RNAcentral
AUUACCUAACUAAUCAACCAUAUAACAAAACUAUGUAUCAUAAUAACAAUGAAAACGAAAUAAAAGAUUACAAAAGCAAAACAAAAAACAAUGAACAGUGUAAUAACAAUUGGAUGCUUUACACAACUGAAAAUAAUGAUUCUUGUGAAGUUAAUGAUUCAUCAACUAUCAAUGAAAACAAAAGUAUAGAACAACGUGGUUUUAUUAAUUUUAUGGAAAGUAAUAAUAAUUUAAUGGUAAAUCCUAGUAGUUAUAAUUUCCAAAAUAAGCAGAAUAUAAACGCUAAAUCUGUCAAAAAUGGUGUUAUAAUAAGAGAUGGUGAUUUAACUGAUAAUAUGUGUUAUAAAACAAAUAAUGGCACCGUUGGUCAUACAUUUAGUGAUAAAACUGGCGAAAACAUCACAAACGAUAUGAAUGACCUAUCCUUAAGAAUGUUUCAAAAUAUAUUUGUUUUACUAUGUACAGAUAAUCAUCAUGAUAAUAAAAAAGAGAUGUUAUCUGUAGAUUAUACUAAUGAUAACGAUAAAUUCCAUCUUAAUAAUGAAAUAAUAUCAAAAUUUGAUAAUCAAGUCUUAUACAAUAAUGACAAAAUAUAUAUAGAUUAUAAAGCUUUGAUAAGCGAUAUAAAAAAUUACAUACUAACUGAAUCUGUGAAAAUAAAUACAAAUGUAGAAUGUGCUAAAUUAAUAAAAAAACUAAUAAAAAUUAAAAAUGAUUAUAUACGUGUAAAAGAUUAUUAUGUAGAAAAAAAUAACAUAAAUGUAAAAUCUUUGGGUGAAUGUGAUAAAGUUAUGCUGUUAGAAAAAAUUAUAAAAACAUAUUACUUUUUUUUAGGCUUAAAUUCUUAUUACGAGACAAAAUUUAAAAAAAUUCAAACACUAAUAAUUCAAAUAAUGGCAUAUAAAAUUAUCCAAUUUUUAAAAAAACAUGAUAAUAUACAACAUAUAAAAAAAACUAUAGUUGAAAAAAACAUUUCAAUAGUUAAAGAUAUUCAAUUAUGUAAUAAGAAUCAAAAAAUGAUUCAAGAGAAAUUUAACUUAUUAAAGCAAAAAAUGAUUUUACACAAUUCGUUA